This is a non-coding RNA of Camelus ferus (Wild Bactrian camel), 73 nucleotides long. The record is from Rfam. NCBI's taxonomy places the organism in Eukaryota, Metazoa, Chordata, Mammalia, Artiodactyla, Camelidae.
GGAAGGGACAGUUCAGUGGUAGAGUGUAUGUCUAACAUGCAUGAGAUCCUGGGUUCAACCCCCAGUACAUCCA